AGAGGCGAUUUUGAAGAUGCAAAACAAAGAGAGAGGGUGGUGAGAAGAGACUUCACCACUGAGCAGCAUGUAUAAAAGGCAUGGGAGCACAGCAGCAGGCCAUUUUGAAGAUGCAGAACAAGGAGAGGGAGGGGUGAGAAAAGACUUCACCACUGAGUAGCAUGGAAAUCACAAAGAACUUUGCUCUAAGGAAAAGAAGUGAAUGUCUCAAGGACUCGGCU
Long non-coding RNA from Scleropages formosus (Asian bonytongue), 221 nucleotides. RefSeq lists it as uncharacterized. The transcript is spliced from 3 exons. Lineage: Eukaryota; Metazoa; Chordata; Actinopteri; Osteoglossiformes; Osteoglossidae. The record is from RefSeq and is a predicted model, not a curated record.